AAUGUCCCCAGAAUGGUUCAUGUGCAGAAUGAUAAUUUACUUCACGCAGCUAAUGUUGAUUUCAAAAGGACAACUAACAAACCAGUAGCCUAUGGAGCACUGCCUAGCUUCGAGACAUUUCCACCACACCAUAUGGAGCUCGUCCACUAGCAUUGGUUGAGGAUACAGGUUUCAACGCCCCACAAGGAACAUUGCCCACAGGACCACCGCAAGAUGAUGUGUUAAAAUCAUCCAACCAACCUGAAGUAGUGCAAGUAAUAUCAAAGGUGGUUGCCAAACAUGAUGAGCUAUGGAGAAAAACUCAUGAGGAACACAUGUCUCGAAUGCGUGCAGAGUUGGCAAGCAAUGUGUCUUCUAUCAUUCCAAGCACCAAUCCUAUGAUGGCAAAUACUCCCGCCCCUCCUGUUAUUAUCAGCUAAUACCAAGGGACAACAACAACUCAGUCAACAGUGGCCAAUAACAGUCAGGGAAUGUUAUCAAUGAUGGUUACCAAACACGAUGAUUUGUUGAAGAAAGUACAUGAAGAACAAGUAUCUAAAGUGUUGGCAGAUAUGAGCAUAAGUGUGACUCCUUGUGCACAAAAUGUGUCCUCCCAGUGUAAUGAUGAAGCAAAAACUCAUGUUACUCGCAGUAGCAAUAGCCACAACAAUGACAGUGCUCUUGUGCGAUACCAGGCAACGACUGCUGUCAGUCAUGAUCAGCAAAUUAACAAGAACAACAUUAUCUUCCAUACAAGUGCAAUUCUUUUUUGAAGAUGACAAUGAUGUUGGCAAAUCAAUUGGACAAUCACAAC
This is a long non-coding RNA of Triticum aestivum (bread wheat), 793 nucleotides long. RefSeq lists it as uncharacterized. Lineage: Eukaryota; Viridiplantae; Streptophyta; Magnoliopsida; Poales; Poaceae. The transcript has 4 exons. The record is from RefSeq and is a predicted model, not a curated record.